This 253-nucleotide ribosomal RNA is filed under the name uncultured bacterium. Its description in RNAcentral is "partial 16S ribosomal RNA". It matches the Rfam family "Bacterial small subunit ribosomal RNA", at positions 524 to 776 of the family's 1533-position model. The record is from RNAcentral.
UACAGAGGCCCCGAGCGUUAGGCGGAAUCACUGGGCUUAAAGCGUGUGUAGGCGGACUUCUAAGUACCUUGUGAAAUCCCACGGCUUACCCGUGGAACGGCUGGGUAUACUGGGAGUCUUGAGCCACCUAGGGGCGAGUGGAACAAAUGGUGGAGCGGUGAAAUGCGUAGAUAUCAUUUGGAACGCCAAUGGUGAAAACAACUCGCUGGGGGUGUGCUGACGCUGAGACACGAAAGCCAGGGGAGCGAGCGGG